UCCGUAGGUGGAUAAUUAAGUCAGAGGUGAAAUCCUACAGCUCAACUGUAGAAUUGCCUUUGAAACUGGUUAUCUUGAGUUAUUAUGAAGUAGUUAGAAUAUGUAGUGUAGCGGUGAAAUGCAUAGAUAUUACAUAGAAUACCAAUUGCGAAGGCAGAUUACUAAUAAUAUACUGACACUGAUGGACGAAAGCGUGGGGAGCGAACAGGAUUAGAUACCCUGGUAGUCC
Molecule: ribosomal RNA, 229 nt
Filed under: uncultured bacterium
Lineage: Bacteria
Description: partial 16S ribosomal RNA
Rfam family: Bacterial small subunit ribosomal RNA
Source: RNAcentral